CUCUGGCGUUCAUGGGCGUGACUAACCGCGUCUGUCUGUUAAAGGUAGCAGGUUGUACAUGGCGAGCGGGUUACUCACUGAGGGUUGGUGAUUGGUGUAAUGGAAGCCGUCUCUGAACCGCAUUUAAUGACGGAGAACUACAGGAGUGGAGAGAAAACGCAGCACUGAGCAACUUGUAGACUUCACACCCGACUGUAGAAUCCCUUCUAUUGUGUGCUGGAAGAUCGCUGGACUUGAAGCAACUCCAAAUGGUGGCCUGUUUGUCCAAAGCCCAGGCUGACCCCCCACCCCUUCAACCUUUGCAGCAAUGCUGGCAGCACUAUUUCCCAAAGACAACCUCUGGAUAUGACGCUGAGCACGUGCAAUCAACUUCUUCUUUGGUCGACCAUGGCGAGGCCUGUUCUGAGUGGAACCUGUCCUGUUAAACCGCUGUAUGGUCUGGGCCACCGUGCUGCAGCUCAGUGUCAGGGUCUUGUGCCCAACGCCCGUGGUGGUGGCAGUGCAUGGCGUGUGUGUGGAAGCAGGAGUGGAUCUAAUCACAGCCUGUGAUAUUCGUCUGUGCACACAGGAUGCCUGGUUUCAGGUGAAGGUAUGAGGAACAUUAACUUGCCAUACAUUGCUUGCUUACAUGUUUACACCAAGAUCUGUAAACAAGCUAUUUUUGUCCAUAUGAUCAUAUAUAGAGAUAGUAAGUGAUGAGAAGAUAAGAAUGGGCUGAUUGUUCUGACUCGUACAAGCCCCUAUGAAAGAGUUGACCACAAGGGGGCACACUCUGAACAAUUAUUUACAUUUGCAGUUUGUUGAAGAUUAAAUAAACCACAGUGAGCAUCAGAUGUCUGGUUUUAAUACAAAGUUUUAUGAUGAACUAUUUUAUGAUAUUACCAUCUUGUCAUUUAUCAAAGAAGAGCUACAAAACCUGAAAUUUGUUCAUUUUUAGACAGAAAAAUUCUGCAGUGUAGCUCUUCUAGUGGGCUUUCCCACUGGAUGUUUAGUCCAACACAGAGCAGUUUGCAUGAAAAGUUGGUAAUGUGACCGUCGUAAUGUGGACUGGGAAGUGCACUGCGGUACCGAACCCGAGACUACCUGUAGAAGGUGGUCCGAGUUCAGUUACAAUGGAACUGUGAAUGUGAAUUGUCCCAUGAAUGUGAACGUAACUUGUAUCCGGGUCUGCACUUUUUCAGGAAGUAGAGUAACCUGUGCUGAAGGCCUGUUGUGGUGAUGACGUGUCAUGACAUGUUUUGGCCCAAAUCUGCAGUGACUUUGAAAAAGUGGAAGCUCCUCUGAAUAUUGUGGAGUUUCUUGAUUUUGCGUUAAUUUCUGUGAUCACAAAAAGGUGAAAUUCUGGACUGACACAUGGAAGAUAUGGAAUGAUAACAGAAGAAUGUGACUUUGGGUUGUACCAUGUAUUUUUUUCAUGUAGCUUUAUUAUUUAGUAUAAAUGAAGGCAAGUGUGUGUUCUGUUCUUCAUCUCUGCAGUCGUGUGUUCCCUGAUAGUCCAUGAUUGCUGGAGCUCUGGAAAUAGCAGGUGAGAUUGCAGGCCGGAGUCGCGUCACUGUCCAAGGAACCAAAAUCAACCUCCUCUGCUCCUGAGACCACAGUGUAACUGAGAGCCUAGACUACAUGGCUACUUGGAACAUGAACAUGUUGCAGACACAGGAUCUUAUGAAGUCAGCGCAGGCAGCCCUGGAAAAGAAGAGUCCGAAAGACGUGCCCUUCUCCAAGCUUUAAAGGAGAAGAUCCAGGGCUGUUGAAGCUGCGGUGGAACUGAGACAUCAUCAUCCACAUAUCUUUAGUUCUUCUUGCUAAGUCUGUUUCUUUUUAGUCUUUUUAUUUUUAGACUGGUCAAAAGACUGAUUAGUGGAAGUGAAAUGAUAGAUGAACUUUUAUUUACUUGCUUUAUUAUUUGCAGGUGCCUUGUACAGUAAGACAGGGUAACUAAUACUCAAAAGCUUUUUUUGUGUGUUAACAUGUACAGUAGAUGGACAUAUUUUUUCUGGUGCUGUGACUGCAGAAUGUAGUGCAGUUAACACAUAAAAUUUCCUUGGAUGCUCACUUUUAACUCUAGGAGGUCACAGUUUGCCCAGACAUCUUUUUUUAAAUCCGUCAAUCCAUCACCCACACGUCAUUCUGGGGGACGAAGAGGAGGAAGCUGGACAGAUAAAUUUAUUUAUUUUAUUUAUCAUUGCUGUGUUUCCUCAAUCGAGUGCAGAAAGAAGAAAAACAACACAACUGAUUUAAAAUAAAAAUAUAGAAAAUAAUCUAAUGUAAGAUUCUG
Long non-coding RNA from Ictalurus punctatus (channel catfish), 2275 nucleotides. RefSeq lists it as uncharacterized. The record is from RefSeq and is a predicted model, not a curated record. The transcript is spliced from 6 exons. Lineage: Eukaryota; Metazoa; Chordata; Actinopteri; Siluriformes; Ictaluridae.